Molecule: ribosomal RNA, 1354 nt
Filed under: Nacella clypeater
Lineage: Eukaryota; Metazoa; Mollusca; Gastropoda; Nacellidae
Description: 16S ribosomal RNA
Rfam family: Archaeal large subunit ribosomal RNA (bases 616-1354)
Source: RNAcentral
UUUAAUUUUCUAAAAAUGUUCUUUUAAAAAUUAAUAAAUCAUAAUAAAAUCUUCUCAUACUUAGUAAAAAGAACAGAAAAGAAUACACACAACUAAAAAGUAAUGUAAAUGAAACUGACAAAAACAAAAAAGUAAGAAUAAAUACCUGUACCUUUAGCAUCAUGGUUAAAUAAAAACAAAAUAUAUAAUUAAACCCGAAAUAGGAAUGAUCUGAUUUUUUUACAAAAAGUUUAUGUAGCAACAUAAUUUUAAGAUAAAAAAAUAGAGGUGAAACUCCAACCGAACCCUAAGAUAGCUGGUUUCUUGAAAAAAACAUCUAAGUGUUACGGCUAUUAUACAUAUUUAAUAAAUAUAAUAAAAAAAUAAAGAAAUAGCCAGGCAAAAAAUUAAGGAUAAGCUUAAUUUUAAACUAAGGAAAAAUAAUAAAAAAACAAAGUAGGCUUAAAAUCAGCAACCUUAUUAAAAAUCGUUAUAUAUUAGGACCAUAGAUCCAAUAAAACAAAUUAAAAUAAUAUUAUCCCUGUUUGUAAUAAAUCAAGAUAUUUUGACACGUCUAUCAACACAAAAAAAGAAUUUUUAAACGAGUAAUACAUAUAUUAAACAAAAAUAAUCAAUUUAAAUUUAAAUAAAAUGAAAAAAGAAAAAAAUAAGAUAAAAUAAAAAAAGGAACUCGGCAAACACAUAUUCCACCUGUUUACCAAAAACAUGGCUCUUUGUAUAAAAAAAUAUAGAGUCACACCUGCUCAAUGAUUAAUUUUAAUUAAAUAGCCGCGGUACCCUGACCGUGCAAAGGUAGCAUAAUCACUUGCCUUUUAAUUGAUGGCUGGCAUGAAUGGUAUGAUGAGAAUAAGACUGUCUCUUUUUUAAUCUAUUGAAACUACCCAUUAGGUGAAAAGGCCUAAAUAAACUUACAAGACAAUAAGACCCUAUCGAGCUUUAAAUAUUUAACUUACCAUAAAACAAAAUAAAAAAAGAAUUAUAUUUUUAGUUGGGGCGACUCGGGAACAAAAAAGCUUCCCUUAAAAAAUUAACUCACAAGUAAUGACCCGGAUGAUCCGAUCAAAGAAAAAAGCUACCGUAGGGAUAACAGCGUAAUUUUCUUUGUGAGCUCUUAUUAAAAAGAAAGUUUGCGACCUCGAUGUUGGAUUAAGGUAUCCUAAAGGUGCAGCAGCCUUUAAGGGUUGGUUUGUUCAACCAUUAAAACCUUACAUGAUCUGAGUUCAAACCGGCGUAAGCCAGGUUGGUUUAUAUCUGUAAAACUAAACUAAAAAUAGUACGAAAGGAUUUUUUUAGGAAAAAAUUUCAAAAAAAGAAUUCAUAUAACAGUCGUCGUGUAGUCGGCGUCAGUUAAAUU